AGUAUUAUAUUCAAAUAUAGAAAUAAAUUGUAAAUUUAUUAAUGAAGAUUCUAAUUCUUUUAAUACUA
Molecule: transfer RNA, 68 nt
Filed under: Nomada flavoguttata
Lineage: Eukaryota; Metazoa; Arthropoda; Insecta; Hymenoptera; Apidae
Description: tRNA-Tyr
Rfam family: tRNA
About the family: Transfer RNA (tRNA) molecules are approximately 80 nucleotides in length. Their secondary structure includes four short double-helical elements and three loops (D, anti-codon, and T loops).
Source: RNAcentral